GGAAAGCAUUAGAGAUAGUGCCCCCCUUGUGGUCGGUGUACAGGUGGUGCAUGGCUGUCGUCAGCUCGUGUCGUGAGAUGUUGGGUUAAGUCCCGCAACGAGCGCAACCCUUGUUCUGUGUUGCCAGCAUGCCCUUCGGGGUGAUGGGGACUCACAGGAGACCGCCGGGGUCAACUCGGAGGAAGGUGGGGACGACGUCAAGUCAUCAUGCCCCUUAUGUCUUGGGCUGCACACGUGCUACAAUGGCCGGUACAAUGAGCUGCGAUACCGUGAGGUGGAGCGAAUCUCAAAAAGCCGGUCUCAGUUCSGAUUGGGGUYUGCAACUCGMCCCCAKGAAGUAGGAGGGGCCCGUAAUGGUUGAU
This 362-nucleotide ribosomal RNA is filed under the name Streptomyces sp. RNAcentral describes it as "bacterial SSU rRNA". It matches the Rfam family "Bacterial small subunit ribosomal RNA", at positions 992 to 1349 of the family's 1533-position model. The record is from RNAcentral. Lineage: Bacteria; Bacillati; Actinomycetota; Actinomycetes; Kitasatosporales; Streptomycetaceae.